AACUUCUGAAUGUUGACCUCGGAUCAGGUAGGAAUACCCGCUGAACUUAAGCAUAUCAAUAAGCGGGAGGAAAAGAAACCAACAGGGAUUGCCCUUGUUACGACUUU
RNAcentral lists this ribosomal RNA (107 nucleotides) under Fusarium proliferatum. Its description in RNAcentral is "partial 28S ribosomal RNA". The stretch from base 14 to 107 matches the Rfam family "Eukaryotic large subunit ribosomal RNA", at positions 1 to 93 of the family's 3401-position model. Lineage: Eukaryota; Fungi; Ascomycota; Sordariomycetes; Hypocreales; Nectriaceae. The record is from RNAcentral.